This 29-nucleotide non-coding RNA is filed under the name Homo sapiens (human). The record is from RNAcentral. Lineage: Eukaryota; Metazoa; Chordata; Mammalia; Primates; Hominidae.
UGGUUCUAUGACUCUCAUUUCCCCAGACA